UACCGGUGCACGUAGCGGCAUGCUUGUUGCAUUCCCCAGUUAGUCUCCUACUGGAAACCGUAUUCUGUCGAGCAUUAAAACAGAUGACACUGCCACAUAACAUACAAAUUGCAGGAAGGAUUGGAGUUUUAUGGCACAUACAGCAAACUGAUUCUUGCAUCGAAUCAAUUAAAUUUUCUAGCCUGUGAGGUAAUUUGACAAGCUCAUAUAUGCCAGGAUAUUCCAAAGAUAUAGUACUAUCACCCCAUGUAUUUUGAGCUAAGUGUUCACACCAGCCAGCGAUUAAUUCCAAAAUCUGAUUAUUUUCAUCAGAAGACAUUUGAGAAUACAGUUCUUGUAAAGGAGGAACUUUUAUUAAUUUGGAAAGCCUUUCUAAUUCACUGUCAUCUUCAUUGUUGGAGAAUUCAUUGAACUCGAGUGAAAUGUCAAACAUGCAAUAUAAUACCAAAGCAACUCGUCGGAGAAACGGUAAAGAAUACUUCUCCACCAAAGACAUUAAACGAAGUAAAUUAGACUCAUCAUCCAAAAUUUCAAUGUUAUUUGAAGAACCACACCAAAGCAGUACAUUCUUGCAUAGAAUAUAAAAUUGGGACUUGGAUUGCUGACUAUAAUUAAUGGUUAAAUCAGGAACGACCGAUGAAUCUGCAACCACUUUUAUCAUAGAAAUUAUUGUCUUGCAAAUUU
Schizosaccharomyces pombe (fission yeast) is the source of this 684-nucleotide non-coding RNA. The record is from the annotation of a GenBank genome assembly. NCBI's taxonomy places the organism in Eukaryota, Fungi, Ascomycota, Schizosaccharomycetes, Schizosaccharomycetales, Schizosaccharomycetaceae.